AUUUUUUGAGACACAGUCUCACUCUGUCGCCCAGGCUGGAGUGCAGUGGCAUGAUCUCACUUCACUGCAACCUCUGCCUCCUGGGUUCAAGCGAUUCUGGUGCCUCAGCCGCCCAAGUAGCUGGGAUUACAGACUGAACAGGAACAGUAUCGGUGAUGUCGGUUGCUGCCACCUUUCUGAGGCUCUCAGGGCUGCCACCAGCCUAGAGGAGCUGGACUUGAGCCACAACCAGAUUGGAGACGCUGGUGUCCAGCACUUAGCUACCAUCCUGCCUGGGCUGCCAGAGCUCAGGAAGAUAGACCUCUCAGUGAAUAGCAUCAGCUCAGCCGGGGGAGUGCAGUUGGCAGAGUCUCUUGUUCUUUGCAGGCGCCUGGAGGAGUUGAUGCUUGGCUGCAAUGCCCUGGGGGAUCCCACAGCCCUGGGGCUGGCUCAGGAGCUGCCCCAGCACCUGAGGGUCCUACACCUACCAUUCAGCCAUCUGGGCCCAGGUGGGGCCCUGAGCCUGGCCCAGGCCCUGGAUGGAUCCCCCCAUUUGGAAGAGAUCAGCUUGGCGGAAAACAACCUGGCUGGAGGGGUCCUGCGUUUCUGUAAGGAGCUCCCGCUGCUCAGACAGAUAGACCUGGUUUCCUGUAAGAUUGACAACCAGACUGCCAAGCUCCUCACCUCCAGCUUCACGAGCUGCCCUGCCCUGGAAGUAAUCUUGCUGUCCUGGAAUCUCCUGGGGGAUGAGGCGGCUGCCGAGCUGGCCCAGGUGCUGCCGCAGAUGGGCCGGCUGAAGAGAGUGGACCUGGAGAAGAAUCAGAUCACAGCUUUGGGGGCCUGGCUCCUGGCUGAAGGACUGGCCCAGGGGUCUAGCAUCCAAGUCAUCCGCCUCUGGAAUAACCCCAUUCCCUGCGACAUGGUCCAGCACCUGAAGAGCCAGGAGCCCAGGCUGGACUUUGCCUUCUUUGACAACCAGCCCCAGGCCCCUUGGGGUACUUGAUGGCCCCCUCAAGACCUUUGGAAUCCAGCCAAGUGAUGCACCCAAAUGAUCCACCUUUCGCCCACUGGG
RNAcentral lists this small RNA (1051 nucleotides) under Pan troglodytes (chimpanzee). RNAcentral's name for it is "retained intron". The record is from RNAcentral. Lineage: Eukaryota; Metazoa; Chordata; Mammalia; Primates; Hominidae.